AUGUCCAUACAUUGCUUCAACGCGUUCGUGCUGGCCAUGCUCUGCAUCGUCAGCAUCUGCGCCAUGGGCGUGAUGGUCAGCACUUCCAUCGACCAGUCGGCGGUGGGUCGCCGCCACCCGGGCUCUCCGUGGCGCGGGCCGGCUUCUCGGCGCGGAAGCGGCGGCGACGGCAGCGGCAGCGCUCUGCCUCAGUUUCUGGACCAGACACCGAGUCACAUACCCGUGCUGGCCCGGGAGCCACCGGUGCAUGGCGGCACGCGGGUGGCGACGGCCUAUGACAUCCCGACGUACGAGCAGCCAGAGGGCGGCGGCGGGUCGGAGUGCCCAGUCUGCCUCAGGGAGGUGGAGAAGGAAGACGCGGUGAAGCGGCUGCCGGUGUGUCUGCACUUGUUUCACCAGCAAUGCAUCGACCUGUGGUUGCAUGAGCACUCGACGUGCCCGGUGUGCCGCCCGGAUCCGGUCGUGACGGUGGCAACGAUAAUGGCUGGCCCGGAUCCGGACAUGGUGGUGGCGGUAUCCCCUCCGCCGGGGAUGACGGGCCAGGUGGUGAAGAAAUACGACAGAUUUUCAGAUAUUGACAUGACUGAUAUGGAUUUCAUCGAUGUCCAUCUAAUGAUGAUUGAUCCAAAAUCAAGGAAGGGCUCAGCGCCGGGGGAUUCUGGGAAGAGUGAGAUCCCUUGUACACAACUAUACCUCUGGAAGCUAGUCUGCAAUAGUGGACAACUUGGAAAAUCAAAUCAAAAUGACACUACCAUCGCAUCGCCUUUGAAUGUCCACGAGAAGAAAAGGCCACAAGAGAAUGUCAUGGAUUGGUUCACCACCGCGUGCUUCAUCGGCAGCACGGCCACAGUCGUCUACGCGUUCGUCAACCUGGCGCGGAAUCCCCACAACAAAGCCUCCAUGGUCGCGGCCUCCAUCGUCGUCCUCUGGUGGGUCAGCACCGCCGCCUACACGGCCUUCUGCGGCGACCUCUUCCAGCUAUUGGCGCUGCGUCGGUGCCUGGCCUCCGCCCACGGGGCACUCCGUGGCGCGGGCCGACUUCUCUGUCCGCCGUGCCUAUGUGCGCGCGCCCAUCGAAGCGGCGGCGGUGGCAGCGCUCUGCCACAUGUUGGGGCUGAAUCUCUCAACCCCUCUUCUUCUUCCUCUAGCUGCUGUCCCUCACAACUCACGGAAGAAACCCAGGAACACAAGAAGUUUGGUGAGCUGCUGUUUCACAGAGCCGAAGCUCUUUUUGUUCUCUCUAUUCACUUGUACUAA
This 1257-nucleotide ribosomal RNA is filed under the name Triticum aestivum (bread wheat). RNAcentral's name for it is "partial small subunit ribosomal RNA". Lineage: Eukaryota; Viridiplantae; Streptophyta; Magnoliopsida; Poales; Poaceae. The record is from RNAcentral.